GAAAUACCCUUAUGGGGCAGGACUUGCUUCAGUGGGGCUUUGAUGCUCACUGAGUCUUCCCUUUGAUUGUGUCGCU
This 76-nucleotide microRNA precursor is filed under the name Myotis lucifugus (little brown bat). RNAcentral describes it as "mir-9229 microRNA precursor family". It matches the Rfam family "mir-9229 microRNA precursor family". The record is from Rfam by way of RNAcentral. Lineage: Eukaryota; Metazoa; Chordata; Mammalia; Chiroptera; Vespertilionidae.